RNAcentral lists this long non-coding RNA (2037 nucleotides) under Octopus sinensis (East Asian common octopus). Its description in RNAcentral is "uncharacterized LOC118762654". The record is from RNAcentral. Lineage: Eukaryota; Metazoa; Mollusca; Cephalopoda; Octopoda; Octopodidae.
UUAUGGUUCCCUCUGUGAAUGCAUGAGUUAAUAGUAAUUCAGUGGGAUCAUUGUUUUAAAAUCAAUUAUUUUAUGACUCCCUAAAUCCUAAAUAUCUCAAAAAUACUCCAACAUGUUGUAGAUGUGUUACUUGGAUUACUUCCUAGAAAAAUGAAAGCAUGCUGUUAUUUUAAAGCAGCAGUAUUUAACCAAAGAAGACCCUUGUGUGUUUCAAUUAAAUUUUAAUAUAAUCAUAAAUCUGGACUGGUUUUGAUAAGUUUUAGUUUUUUUAUUUUAACAUAUUGCGUAAUUUUUGUCUCAAAGUGUCUCAGGUAAAAACAAAGUAAAUAUAAAAUUAUUUCAGUUUGGGUAUACAACAAAAUUUUAAAAUCAGAAUUGUGCACAUUACUAGAUUAUCAGUUGAAAUUAAAUGCAUAUCAGAUAGGUGUAGCAAUAAGUGUAAAAAUAGGGAAUACUGGAAUUUAUCUUUGAAGAAAACAAGAAAUUGAAAUACACAUACAAAUAAGUAAAUGAAAUACAUUCAUACAUAUACCUAAAUGUACAGAAACAUAAUUAUUUACUAUGCAAAUUGAUCAAAAUUUGUCACUUUAUAGGCAAGUUAAAAUUACAGGUAAAUGAAAAAUAAAGAGGUAAAAUCCUCUAUAAACAAACAUCAUGGUAACCUGUAAAGCACCCCACUUCACAUAAUGCAAUUUUGCAGAGUAUACAUUGGAAACUUGUUUCAAUGGCCUGUCUACUGAGAGCUGUUCUUUUUUGAUGAUGGUAUUCAUGGCACUACCUUUUGUGACCCUCAAUUUAUGGUGAUUUGCUGAAAUCAUUGGGAUGUCUUUCUAGCAGGUUUUCGUUUUUCUCCUAACAGUUUUUUUUUUUUUAAGAAAAACCAGCUCUCAACUGCAUUGCUACAUCUGAUUGGAACAGCAGACAGUCACAUCACCUUCGAGCCCCUCCUUCAUUUGUUAAUAUAGUAUAAAUGCGUUAACUAUUAUCAGGUUCACUAUAUACCAAUUGAUUUGUCUCUUGUUUCUGUAUGCAAAUUUCCUUUCUGCUGUUGGAUUAUUUUUUUUUGACAUCCCUUUCCUACUUGUAACACAUGUUGCCACAGCUUCUAAAUUUACUGCAGGUUUGACCAAAAUGCAAAAAAAAAAAUGUAGCCCUGGUUAUGGUAUGGGAGUUUUUAAUUCCAGACCAUAUUGUACCUUAACCUGUGCUGGCUUACAUUGCCUUUCUUCCUUGUAUAAAACCGAAUCCACCUUGAUCACCUAUUUUGGUUGGUUUUCCAGGCAUGUACUGUCAGAUGUAUUCUGCUUUUGUAUCGCCCCAUACCCUCAUCGAUAGACAGGUAUCUCCCUGGGUUAUAGAAUGUUUUAUAAGUGUUUUGAAUGCAGUUGAUGAGGAGCCUUAUUUUAGAUGAGAUGAAAUUUUGGUUCUCUACAUACUGGUGCACAGCUAUUUAAAUACUGCAAUUUUUUUAAUCUUGUCCUUGCCAUGAUACCAAAAGGGUUUGGUCACUUCUCCAGUAGUUGGUUAUUCAGGUUAACUUCCUUAUUCCCAUUAUCAUAGCAAAAAAAAGCUCAGAUUUCAUUUAAGCAUGUAGGAGGCCACAAAUGGUUUCUUUUGUUGCAUUAUUUACAUUCUGCAUAUUGAUUAGUUUCCACAGUAAUUGCAUGAAACCAACUAGGAGGAAAAAUAUUUUAAAAAUAGGUUAAUGGUUUUGCCUCUUGGGAAAGACUGUGAUUAGGUCCAGUCUCUUCAGAAAAAUUUGUAAGAGAAAGUUUUUAGACAUUUGUUGCACUUACUUACAAAUUCAUUUCCUUUGUUGCUGUGUGAAUUUUUGUCUGAAUCACGUUCACUUUCAGAAAUGGAAAUAUCUGAUUCCUUUUCACAAGCCAUGUGGUUUUUGUGUUUGCUGAAUAUUUUGUUUGACUUUUCCAUUUCUUCGGUUGAAAACUUUCAAAUUCCAGUUCACUUCUUGACAACAUAAAUCUGUUACCCAUUUGUCAGUAUUUUAAUAUUUUCAAAGCAACACCAAAAAAAUGU